Molecule: ribosomal RNA, 1343 nt
Filed under: uncultured bacterium
Lineage: Bacteria
Description: 16S ribosomal RNA
Rfam family: Bacterial small subunit ribosomal RNA
Source: RNAcentral
GACGAACGCUGGCGGCGUGCUUAACACAUGCAAGUCGAACGGAAAGGCCCUGCUUUUGUGGGGUGCUCGAGUGGCGAACGGUUGAGUAACACGUGAGUAACCUGCCCUUGACUUUGGGAUAACUUCAGGAAACUGGGGCUAAUACCGGAUAGGAGCUCCUGCUGCAUGGUGGGGGUUGGAAAGUUUCGGCGGUUGGGGAUGGACUCGCGGCUUAUCAGCUUGUUGGUGGGGUAGUGGCUUACCAAGGCUUUGACGGGUAGCCGGCCUGAGAGGGUGACCGGCCACAUUGGGACUGAGAUACGGCCCAGACUCCUACGGGAGGCAGCAGUGGGGAAUAUUGCACAAUGGGCGGAAGCCUGAUGCAGCAACGCCGCGUGCGGGAUGACGGCCUUCGGGUUGUAAACCGCUUUCGCCUGUGACGAAGCGUGAGUGACGGUAAUGGGUAAAGAAGCACCGGCUAACUACGUGCCAGCAGCCGCGGUGAUACGUAGGGUGCGAGCGUUGUCCGGAUUUAUUGGGCGUAAAGGGCUCGUAGGUGGUUGAUCGCGUCGGAAGUGUAAUCUUGGGGCUUAACCCUGAGCGUGCUUUCGAUACGGGUUGACUUGAGGAAGGUAGGGGAGAAUGGAAUUCCUGGUGGAGCGGUGGAAUGCGCAGAUAUCAGGAGGAACACCAGUGGCGAAGGCGGUUCUCUGGGCCUUUCCUGACGCUGAGGAGCGAAAGCGUGGGGAGCGAACAGGCUUAGAUACCCUGGCAGUCCACGCUGUAAACGGUGGGUACUAGGUGUGGGGUCCAUUCCACGGGUUCCGUGCCGUAGCUAACGCUUUAAGUACCCCGCCUGGGGAGUACGGCCGCAAGGCUAAAACUCAAAGGAAUUGACGGGGCCCCGCACAAGCGGCGGAGCAUGCGGAUUAAUUCGAUGCAACGCGUAGAACCUUACCUGGGUUUGACAUGGAUCGGGAGCGCUCAGAGAUGGGUGUGCCUCUUUUGGGGUCGGUUCACAGGUGGUGCAUGGCUGUCGUCAGCUCGUGUCGUGAGAUGUUGGGUUAAGUCCCGCAACGAGCGCAACCCUUGUUCACUGUUGCCAGCACGUUAUGGUGGGGACUCAGUGGAGACCGCCGGGGUCAACUCGGAGGAAGGUGGGGAUGACGUCAAGUCAUCAUGCCCCUUAUGUCCAGGGCUUCACGCAUGCUACAAUGGCUGGUACAGAGAGUGGCGAGCCUGUGAGGGUGAGCGAAUCUCGGAAAGCCGGUCUCAGUUCGGAUUGGGGUCUGCAACUCGACCUCAUGAAGUCGGAGUCGCUAGUAAUCGCAGAUCAGCAACGCUGCGGUGAAUACGUUCCCGGG